RNAcentral lists this long non-coding RNA (429 nucleotides) under Brassica napus (rape). Its description in RNAcentral is "long non-coding RNA (BNAP_LNC014101)". The record is from RNAcentral. Lineage: Eukaryota; Viridiplantae; Streptophyta; Magnoliopsida; Brassicales; Brassicaceae.
UUUGUAUUAGAAAGUACAACAACCAAUGCAAUAAUACAAAUAUAAAUAAUGCCAUUUUAUACAGUUCUCGUGUUUCUCAUGCUGCAGCUACUUCUUUGUCUUUAAUGCAAUAACCCUUUCGCACGAUGAUGUUAACAUUCAUCAACAGAGGAAGAAAGUGUCACUAAUUCCAAUAAAACCCGGACCCAAUUUCGGUCAACUAUGCAGUUGGGCUUGAGUAACUUGGACCGGACAACCAACGAAGAAGCCCGAUUUUGGUGAGCAAGAAGAGAUCGGUUCGAAGAGCCGGAGAUUGCGGAGAGGUUGAGAGAAAUCCGGAAUCAAUUCACUAUAAGAAGAGAUCGAUGAAAACGAAGAAAUGACACAGAGUAAACCCUAGAGAGAACUACACACACAUCAAUCUCUUUCCACUCCGCUUUAAUUCUUUUC